GUGCUUGCUUCAGUAGCACAUAUUCUAAAAUUGGAAGGCUACAGAGAAUAUUAUCAUGUAGCAUGGCACCUACACAGGAUGAUAUAUAAAUUUGUGAAGCAUUCCAAAUUUUU
This 113-nucleotide small nuclear RNA is filed under the name Castor canadensis (American beaver). Lineage: Eukaryota; Metazoa; Chordata; Mammalia; Rodentia; Castoridae. The record is from RNAcentral.